Molecule: RNA transcript, 7105 nt
Organism: Trachymyrmex septentrionalis
Lineage: Eukaryota; Metazoa; Arthropoda; Insecta; Hymenoptera; Formicidae
Exons: 8
Source: RefSeq, a predicted model, not a curated record
CAUAGUUUCGUUGAUUUGUUGGUGUUAGUUGGACAAUCGACAAGGGGGGUCAAGGUAUUUAAUCAAGGUUGCAAAUGCGAUUGCUCAUUGCUGACAGUGCACGUUAAUUAAUUGCGUCUCAGCAUCAUUAAAUUCACGGCAACGAGAUUUGCCACGUAUUUCCGGGACGUCAAACGAUCUUAUCUCCAUUUUUUUUUCAUUUUUUUUAUACAAAAAAUUUCCUCGGACGAUGUGAGAAGAUACGUGAUUCCUUCCCCCCCUUUGUAGUUCCUUUCUUCCACCUGUAGAUAUAGUUUAUCUAUCGAAAGAAUAUACCAUUCUUUGCUUUAUUCUUGAACGUGUCCUCACGUAGCUAAUCUCAAAGGAGUCUGAAGGAGUGAUUCACACGCGGAUUUCACUAAGAAACGAAAUAGAGAGCAGGGACAAUAAAAUUUCAUUCUUCGUUGCCGGGUAAGUUUGUACGAUGGCGAGUGAUCUGUCAAGCGGCUGCACGGAGACAAUCGACAUCCUGGACGAUGAGAAGGAAGAAGGCGAGAUUUCAUUGGAGGAUGUCAGUUCGUCUGAAGAAGGUGGAAUGGGUCAUCUGACUAAUAACUACAUCGUCGGUAGGAUGCGUGCAUGCCCUGAUUGCAAAUCUUGGAGCGAUUGUGCUACCUGGUGUAACGCAACGUAUCAUCCUAAGAACCAGAGCAGGAGAGAUCCAGUCAAAGGGAAGGAAAACCGUCACCAUGUCAGAGAAACGGGAUUUGCUGCAACAAAGCACAUGGCAUCGACGUUACAAGAGAAAAAUGAUGACCUAGUACCAAUCUCUAGCGACAGCGACAUGGAAAUUGUCGGUCUCACAGAUACAUCCAAUCGAUCAAAGACUAAAGUAAAAAAGAAAAAAAGAAAGAAAAAGGAAUAUGAAUCCCUCACUAUCGAUGAAUUGAUUUCUCCGACCUCCAUCGAUAUGUUAUCGUCUAUAGCAGAAGUCAAUAAGGCGAAAAUAUAUAGGGAAGUAAGUCCAACUCAUAGAUCAAGUGGCAGAUCAAAGAUGAUCUCGAAAUCGCCAGUUCGAAGAUACAGGUCGCCAGUGAUAGCACGAUCGUCGUUUCAAUCUUCUCGAUCUCCGCUGAAUCAUUCCAGAUCUCCGAUAUUAAAGAAAUCACCGCGAAAGGUCAGAUCCCCAAAACGUAGUCUCCGUCGUCACUCACCCGUGAAAGCAGCGAAGAGACUGCCGUCGAAGUUGAGCUCGCCGCAGUUUACUCGUUCCUACGUCGAUAGGCAUGGCGAGGUGACGCGAUUGUUGAAAAAGGUGAAGCAUCUGGAUUCUAUAGGAACUCAAGCAUCAGAACCGAGCGUCAACCGUAGUAAGGAAUCGUCGUCGCUGAAGGAGAAAUUAUCGAAUAUGAAUAUACUAAACAGAGUCAGCAGCGACGACCACGUGCACCUCAAGGGAAAAUCGAAGAUUGGGUCCAAGACAGUCGACGAUGCCGACGAUGAGGACGAUCUGGCAUUGCUGCGACAAAAGGCGUUAGAGACAAAGCAGAAAAAGUCUAGUAGAUCGGAGCAAUCAGCAGAUGUAGAAUCAGAAAAGAGAUUGGCUGUGAAUAACGAUGACCAGGACGAGGAAGCUUUGCAACUUCGUAUGAUCGCUCUGCACUCAGCGAUCAUGAAGAAGCAUCAGAAUCGAGUUGAACGCGGUAUUAAGACCAAGAGACCUACUCGCAGUGAAAGUCCGUUUAGUUCGAGUUUUCUCGAUGAUAUACCUGUGCCUAGCGAUGAGCUGUUGAAAUAUGCGUCGCCACCAUGCACACCGUCACCCGAGAGCAAUCACAUUGAAGACAUGGACUUGGAUACUGACAUCGAAAGGGAGAAAGAGAAGUUGCCAUAUUCGCCGACCGAUAAGAUCACCGAGAACGUUCCUAUCGACACAGCGUUGCUUGGAAUCGAGCCAUCUGACGUAUCGUUCAUUAACGUAAACGAGAACAUCGGUAGCCCGGUCUUUGACGACGCACAGGAUGAACUUGCAACGAAUAACGUCACAUCCUAUUAUAAUGAAACUUACUUACCUUACCAAGCACUUCCAAAUAAGCCGCAAUUCUAUGCGCAUUCGCCAUCACAGUACAACGAGGCCUUUCAUUCGGAUUUAAAUGAUGUAACCGAAAAAGGUUUUGAGAAUCCUCAUGGGAACGGUGUUGUUUGUGAUCUAAUAGAUGGAAUUUGUUGUCAAGAAGGUACUUAUUCCUUAACAAAUAUGCCAGAUACGCAUGAUCUUCCAGUGACCAAGGAUCUUCUCACCCCUCCUGUCUCUUCCUAUGGCACUUUUGCUUCUUCUCUUCAGAUGCAGCAAAUCGUGGAGCAACCUGCCAAGGAUAGUAUUGUAUUUGUGAAUGUAGAUUCCACAUUUAGAAAUGAUAAACCCACCUACGAAAUGCAGACAAUCCCUCCAUUUAAUUCCGUUGCAAAUGCUCCGACAACGGCGUACGCCGCUAGAUACGCCGAGUCGAUGUCGCCGAAUGAAUCGAUGAUAACGAUCGAUGAUCUUCCGGAGGCAUCUGUGGAUCCAUUAAACUCUCCCAUUGGCGACGACAUAAAUUUACCGGCGAUGGAAUACAUUCCAAUGGAAGCAGCACCAUGUCAAGCUGCUAUAGAGAAAACAUUACAGGAACCUUUAUACAUGCAAGGUAUCCCAGAAGUUACUAAAGAUAUGAAUAAAAUACCUACGUUGAUCAACAGAAAGCUGGUACCCGCGCCAAUACUGAAAUCGAAUAAGCGGCUGCGACAAUAUUUGAAGAAGCUGCGCGAAACGCUGCCAGAGUCGCAGUCAGAGCCAGAGCCGACUUUUAAGAAUGCUGAGAUGCAACCGGUGACCGUUGUUGCCGCAAACACGAAUAGCAUUUUCAAACCUAUAAAAUUACAAGUAGUGAAAAAAUCCGCGCCUGCUUUGUCGACGCUCCCUACGUUCGACAAUUCAGUGAACGAAUCUUUAGAUACAUCAGAGGAUCAAAAAGGCUCAUCCAAGGAAGAUCAUGAAACAGUUGAGCUGGGACAGACUGAUGUCGCUACUACGUCGUCAGCGAAUGAAACUACUCUAGCUCGGAGGAAAAGGAGAAAAAAGGAGAAACGCAGAAGGAAAAAUACACGUUGGAUGAAAUGGUUUGAGAAUGAAACGAACCCAUGUUUGGAUGCUGAUGUAAAUAGAGAUACAAUUAUGAAUGCGUCUACUUUAGAUCACAUUGCAACCGAAUCUGAUCAAAGCAAGAACAAUGAUAACGCUAGUAUGCAUAAGGUUUUAAUAGAAAAUGGAGAAUUGACGAAAUUGCAAAAUAUCACUGAUACGCAAGAGUCUAUCAACUCUGGUGAUGUUUUGAUCGAAAAGAGAGACAUGGAGAAUCACACAAUACUAUUAACAUCCAUCGAAUAUUCACAAGAAGAACAAAUUAAAUCCCAUUGUUUGUCAACAAAUUCCGCGCCAGACAAUUCGAAUUCUGACACAGUUAGCAAAGCCAUCGAUACGGUUAAAAGCGUUAGUAGAAGACAAAGCAUUGACGAGGAUGAGGACGAAUUACGAGCCAUUUUAUUGGCUUCUUUAAAACGAACGAAAUCAGCAGAUAUCAACAGUCCUCCAAUUGCUCCAGCUAUUCUGAUUACAAACUCUAUUGUAACGAAUAUCCAGACAUCUGCAUUAAAUCAAGCAUUGACAGAUACCAUGCCAUCUACCAUUAACACAACAUGUACUGUGAGCAACAAUGCUCCGUUAUUACCGUCGAAGCCGUUGCCAUCGAAGCCGUCGCCGUCGAAGCCGUCGCCGUCGAAGCCGUCGCUGUCGAAGCCGUCGCCAUCGAAGUCGUCGCCGUCGAAGUUGUUGUCGAAACCAUUACCAUCGAAGCCUUUAUCGGAAACAAUAAAGAAGAAAAUUAAUGACGCAUCUAUCUCGGUGCAAAAUGGCAGGAAAAGAAGCACCAGCCUAGAUACGGUAAAGAGUCCUCCGAAAAAAAUAAUGAGAAAAGCAAUUACAAGCACGAAGGUGGUAAACAACGCUAAGAAAUAUCAAAAUAUGAUUGUGAAGAGGAGACUGAAUCUACGAAAGAUUGAUAACAAUGCGAAAACUAGCGAAAACGUAUGGUCCAACGCUAACGCUUCAAAAAUAUCGCUGCAUGCAUCUGACACUCAGCGAUUUGUGAUAAGUUUAGGUUCCGAUACGGAUACAGAGUCCGAAGGCGAAAAAAACGAGUCUGUUUCUGUCGCGGAGAAACAUCAGGCGCAUCAGGAGAUUCCCGCCGAUUUCGAAAAGAACUUGAGUAAAUUUCUGCGUGAGGUGAGAAACGAACAAGAACAGUCUGCAGCAGCUGCAGCGAAGUCACCCAGUUCGUCCACGCAAGCGACAAAGCGAGAUGUGCCGCAAACGGCUAACGGUUCAUCUAAUGUGCACACGCCACUGGCCGUGAGGCAUCUUCCUGCGUCACAGCAAGAGGAGUAUCGUCGUUUGAAGCAGGAAAUCUUGGAGCGCGAAAAGAAACUGCAGAGAAAAGUAGCAAGUAACAGUAGUAGUAGUAGUAAUAGCAGUAAUAAAUUAUCAAACACUAACGUAGCAAGCUCAUCAAUAAAAUCUUUGUCAUCGUGCGAAAAGAAAGCGCAUGUUAAACAGAAUCAAGAUAAUUUAAAAACGCCAGAGAAGAAUCCUCCUCAAGAAUCGUCAACAGAAGUUGGAAAGAAAAGCGACGACGUGACGAGAGAUAUGUCAGAAUUAAAUGUAUGUUGUAAAUCUGCUGAGAAAAAACUUUCAAUGAAUAUUGCUAAACAUACUAAUUCCACACAAAGUUUUUUGCAAACUAAAAACUGUAAGAAAGCGAUACCGAAUAAUCUCAGCAUUCGAAUUACUAACGUUACCGCUUCAAGUCAUGUCAAUGGUAGAUCGGUCGAGAAUUUGCGUGAGAAACAAUCCGUGACAGACACACAGCAACAUAGAUCUGCUUUGAGAACAUUAAGCACAGACGAGAUAAAUUGUAAAUACAUGCAAGUAAUGUUGAAGCCGAACGCAAUUGAGCGAGUCGUCACUAUAAACGACAAAUCAAUUUUGCAACAUGACAUGACAAUAAACGUCGGUCAAAAUGAAAAUCUGAUCGAGCCUAAUGUCAAUACAGAAAAUCUAGUCGAGAAAAAUCUAAAUGAUUUAGAUAGUAAUAGUAGUAAUUUUUCUACUGCAUCUACUGUAAAACUUCCAAAUUCAUUUUCGAGUGAACACGAGGAGACGAUGGAAACCACAAUGUCACUUUCUCAAUAUAAAGCAGAAUGUCAGCAAGAAAUUAAUCGUGAUGAAGUAUCAACAUCUAUACUUGCAGACAAUAAUAAUAGCAACAAUGGCUCUCAUAAAUCUGACUCAGUUACUGACGAUAAUAGUACUGCGAAUGAUAUUUGGGACACACUUAAAAAGGAUGUUAAAGCAGAAGUGGAUUUCCUGACGAGUCUUCCAGAAGCGGAACAACAGCGACAUUUGAGAGAAACUGAGCAUAAAUUAGUUGAAAAACGGUAUACGGUCUUAGAUCAUUUAGCAGAAAUGUCAGGGAAUCUUCGUCAAUGGGAUCUGGAGAAGGAAGUACAAACUACCCUGGCCAACGAAGUGAGAAAACUUAAAGAACAGUUAAAGAUAGCUGAGGAAAGAUUACAACAGCAGCGCAAUCGCGUUAAUAGCAUGGGUCCAAAAGUUUCAACAGCACGUCAAAAGAUCAAUGAUGGACGACGCGAUUGCUUUAAAUUAUCCAGAAUUUGUUCGACCCUAGGUAACCGACUCAUGGGGAAAAAUUACAAGUUGCCAGAGGCGGUAGAUCAACUUUUAAGUGAUAAACUCAAGGAGGUUGCUAAUCAUACGCGUCAGUUCACCAAGAAGAAGCGACUCCAAACUAAUGAUAUUUCUGAAAAUUCCUAUUCUAGUAUGUUACAAGAAACUUUAUCUAAAGAUAUAUGCAUUGAGGAAAAUCUGUCACAAGAACAGCCAAUGAAUGAUGAAGCUGUGAUCGUUGAGACGGAACCGAGAAAAGAUACUUGCUUGACACAAUCUAAUCAAAAUAAGAGUUUAUCGACAGAAAUCUCACUAGAUUUCUCACAAGUGAUUCCAUGCCAAUCAACAUCAGAAAGGAGAGAAAAAACUUCAGCAAAUGCAUCGAAUCAUUGUAACGAGGAACAAGUCAUAACUCUUAAUCAAGAUAAUGUGUCAUCUUCUGAACCAAAGUUAUACCAAAGUAAUCCUACAGAACAAAAUAAUGAGCACACAAAAGAAAGUAGAACGAACAAGUCUGAUCCCGCCGCAUCUUUAGAACUAAAGUCAUCAGCGACUGCUUCCUUAAGUUCAGAACAAAAUGAACAGAUUAACGAAAAAGCCUCGCCGCUACUGCCAUCGCCAUCGCCGACAACAAUAACGACGACGACAAAUACAACGAUAUAUACAACGACGACGAGGCAAAUUGCACCUUAUAUAUCGAUAUUGUCACAUUUAAAGAAACCAAGGAACAUCAACCCCCAUGGAAUUCUGUGUCCGUACGAAAUGAUGGGCAUUUGCAGGGACGAGGAUUGCCAAUACAUUCACCAGUCGAGGAAUCAAACCUGAAAUAAUAAUUACAUACUACCGAACAUAUUCAACAUGACGUAAGGUGGUUCUAAUUUCUCGUCAAAUGUGUCAAUGUGGAUCACACACUUUACAAUACAUUAAUAACAUUUCAAUUCGUAUCAUCGAUUAUCCUCUAGGAAAUAGAUAUAUCAAUAUAGGCAGGUUGUGAUGUUAUGCGGAGCUAACACUCGAAGAUCGGUAAGUUGUCUUCAUCCAUGGCAGGCUCUAGUGCAUCGACCGAAAUUAUCGUUUUGUUUCGCAAAAUUCUUACAUUUUUAUGUAAGAUCUCUAUUUUAAAACAUCGUGCUACUACGGGAUCUCGAGAGGUAUCCGUAUUUUAUUGAAAGUUCAAAUAAAAUUUCGACCAGUGUAUAUUUUUUACAAUUAUAAGAAAAAAAGUGUCUAAACUGCAAGAUCAACCAGUGUGGUAAAGAUAAAUAGAAGAAGAAUCUAUCGACCAUACUGAAAAAAAGAAGAGUUAAGAUUGAAAAGAAGAGAAAUCCAGCAAUUAUGGAUCAU